GCUUACUGCCACACCUCCCUGAGCACGCCCGAUCUCGUCUGAUCUCGGAGCUAAGCAGGGUCGGUGCCCGGUUAGUACUUGGAUGGGAGACCGCCUGGGAAUACAGGUGCUGUAGCUC
RNAcentral lists this ribosomal RNA (118 nucleotides) under Esox lucius (northern pike). Lineage: Eukaryota; Metazoa; Chordata; Actinopteri; Esociformes; Esocidae. The record is from RNAcentral.